Molecule: transfer RNA, 73 nt
Filed under: Canis lupus familiaris (dog)
Lineage: Eukaryota; Metazoa; Chordata; Mammalia; Carnivora; Canidae
Also listed under: 1 other name
Rfam family: tRNA
About the family: Transfer RNA (tRNA) molecules are approximately 80 nucleotides in length. Their secondary structure includes four short double-helical elements and three loops (D, anti-codon, and T loops). Further hydrogen bonds mediate the characteristic L-shaped molecular structure. tRNAs have two regions of fundamental functional importance: the anti-codon, which is responsible for specific mRNA codon recognition, and the 3' end, to which the tRNAs corresponding amino acid is attached (by aminoacyl-tRNA synthetases). tRNAs cope with the degeneracy of the genetic code in two manners: having more than one tRNA (with a specific anti-codon) for a particular amino acid; and 'wobble' base-pairing, i.e. permitting non-standard base-pairing at the 3rd anti-codon position.
Source: Rfam by way of RNAcentral
ACCUGGCUUGCUCAGUUGUUAGAGCAUGAGACUCUUGAUUUUGGGAUUGUGAGUUCGAGCCUCACAUAGGGUG